GAAAUGCGAUAAGUAAUGUGAAUUGCAGAAUUCCGUGAAUCAUCGAAUCUUUGAACGCACAUUGCGCCCUCUGGCAUUCCGGGGGGCAUGCCUGUCCGAGCGUCAUUACGCACCCUCAAGCCCGGCUUGUGUGAUGGGCCCUGGCGUCUCGUUCGCGAGACGGGCCCGAAAGGGAGCGGCGGCGUCGACCCGAUGAGCCCGAGCGUAUGGGGACUUCUGUCACACGUUCGCGGUGCGGACCGGCGCCUGCUUGACUUUUCUGAUUAUCCAGGUUGACCUCGGAUCAGGUAGGGAUACCCGCUGAACUUAAGC
This 312-nucleotide unclassified non-coding RNA is filed under the name plant metagenome. RNAcentral describes it as "partial contains 5.8S ribosomal RNA, internal transcribed spacer 2, and large subunit ribosomal RNA". The stretch from base 1 to 105 matches the Rfam family "5.8S ribosomal RNA", at positions 50 to 154 of the family's 154-position model. The record is from RNAcentral.